AUUUAAUUUUAAAAUGGCGGAUGAAAAUAGUGUAUAUCUUAGAGUAAUAAACAAAAAUAUAGAUUACCCACAACAAGCUAAUAUCAUGGUUACACCCUAUGUUUCAACGCAUCCUUUAAUUUCUGAUCAACUGCGAUUACCUCCACAUGGUGGGAAAACAAGAAAACGUAAAGCAAACUGUUAUAACUGGAAACAGUAAAAAAGAAAGCGACUUAGACAAUCAGGAAAGGAAUAUAUAAAUGUUAGAGGCAAAGUUAUUCAACCAAGAAGUAUUAAAAAUAAAAAAGAUUGUAAAAAUUGUUGCAAGUUUAAGUGUUUUGAGAAGAUUUCAGAAGACUAGAGAAAAAUAUUAUUUAAUAGACUGUGGGGAAUGUCUCAGAUUGAAAAGCAACACUUAUUUAGUAAAACUACUGAACGAUUAGAUAAAAAAAGAUCUCGAACCAAUAAAGUAAGCAAUUCAAAAAGAAAAUAUGCUUAUUUUUACAAUUUCUUUGAGUUUUAUUUGUCUACAUUAGACAUCAGCAGCAGGCAAAUAUCAUACUAUCAUGAAAAUAAACUUGAAACUGGUGUUCCUGCCCCAACAAAAUGGGGGAAACAUUGUAAAAAAAAAGUUCUUGAAAUGACUAAACAGAGUAUAGAAAACCAUAUCAACUUGUUUCCACGAGUUGAGUCACAUUAUUGUUGAAGCAUUUCCUGCAAACAAUACUUUGAUGGGUCAUUAAAUUUGAAGAAACUUUA
Hydra vulgaris (swiftwater hydra) is the source of this 738-nucleotide non-coding RNA. The record is from RefSeq and is a predicted model, not a curated record. NCBI's taxonomy places the organism in Eukaryota, Metazoa, Cnidaria, Hydrozoa, Anthoathecata, Hydridae.